GCCCCCUUAGCUCAGUAGGAUAGAGCACAGGAUUCCUAAUCCUGGUGUCAGAGGUUCGAAUCCUCUAGGGGGCGCCA
RNAcentral lists this transfer RNA (77 nucleotides) under bacterium. RNAcentral's name for it is "tRNA-Arg". It matches the Rfam family "tRNA". Rfam says of the family: Transfer RNA (tRNA) molecules are approximately 80 nucleotides in length. The record is from RNAcentral. RNAcentral also lists the same sequence under 6 other names.